Molecule: RNA transcript, 5587 nt
Organism: Ooceraea biroi (clonal raider ant)
Lineage: Eukaryota; Metazoa; Arthropoda; Insecta; Hymenoptera; Formicidae
Gene: Ndae1
Gene name: Na[+]-driven anion exchanger 1
Source: RefSeq, a predicted model, not a curated record
CAGGGAUCCCGGAGAGUUCGAGUUCAAAUCUAAGGCAGUCUCCUAGUUAUUUUUCGCCUCUUACAGAGUGUAUCGUAUCGAAAUACGGUUCUACCUUUCGGACCACCUUCAACCGAUCUUCAGCGACCGCACUUGUUUACUGAACGAUGACUAGGAGCGCGUGGACGAUUUGAAAAUGACAAAAUAAUGAUCCCCUUCCUACGUUCCGCCGACCCAUGACCGGAUUCUUGUGCGUAUCUCGGCGUUAUCUGGGCGGAGUAUCCUUAUCGGAAUCACCGGAUGAUGAUGACCGUCUCCGUAUUGCCGCCAGUCAUCGACUGGCCGCCGUGACUGAUCCGCGAUCUACCGCUGCCACCAACAAGAGAGGAAAAGAGAAAGAGAGAGAGAGGGAGAGAGACUGAGAAUACACGAUCGGAAGCUGACAUCUAGCUGUCAGCCGAUGGUAAACAGUCUGACUGCGUACAUCGCGGUGCGUAGACGUGCGUAACGCAACAUGCCGUACACGUGCGUGCUCGCGUGCAUGUGAACAGAGAAAGAGAGAGAAAGAAAGGCUGAGAGAGGAAGCUAGAACAGACUGAAGAAACAUUCUCUUAUUCUUCGCCCACGAGUGCUUCCUCAUUUAUGAUCGUGGAGAGAUCACCAUUCCAAUCAUGAGGACUACCGUUUGAUAUUCCGUCCAGAAGAACAGUCUCUCCCGUGUUGCAUUUGAUUGCCGUGGUAUUGGAUCUCCUCAGGUGCAACCGGUAAUGGAGCUCCGUGAACUCUGGAAACCGUGGAUGCAGCCGAGGGCUGGCAGCGGAGGGGCCCACGCGGGUGGGACAGGUGACGAUGAGGCCCCGAAGGACCCGGGUGCAAGGAUCACUCAUCAGUCCUAUACGGAGAAGGAUUAUGAGGGUCACAGGGCGCACACGGUAUACGUGGGCGUGCACUUGCCGGGAGAGAGGAGACACCGUCGCCACCAUAAGCACCAUCAUUCACAACGGCAGUCGUAUCCCGGCGGUAAGGAGGAUGCUGACAACGACAGACCGAGGCAGUUGUUGAUGGCGCGCAGGGGUCGUCUCGCUAGCAUCUGCGACCCCGCCGGCGAGAUGAUAUUCACUCCACCAGCCCAGAGGGUGCAGUUCAUCCUCGGCGAGGAAGUCGGCGAUGACGCCCACGAGUCGCAUCCGCUCUUCUCGGAGAUGGAGGAGCUCGUCAAGGAUGGCGAUGAGAUGGAAUGGAAGGAAACGGCGAGGUGGAUCAAGUUCGAGGAAGACGUCGAGGAGGGUGGGAAUAGGUGGAGCAAACCCCACGUAGCCACGCUGUCGCUGCACUCGCUCUUCGAGCUGAGGAGUCUUCUCUUAAAUGGGACCGUCAUGCUCGACAUGGAGGCGGCUAGUUUGGAGCAGAUUGCUGAUCUAGUUCUCGACAACAUGGUCAACAAGGAAGUGCUGCCGGUCGAGUUGCGGGAGAAGGUGAGGGAAGCCCUCCUCGUCCGACAUCGGCAUCAGCACGAGAGACGCAAAGACAAUAACAUGUCAAAGUUGCCGAUCAUACGAUCGUUAGCUGAGAUCGGCCGCAAUCAUUCCUCGUCAAAGAAUUGCGACUGUUCAUGUGGUAUGCAUGCCUUGUUGACGUCAGAUUUGCAGGAGCGCCGCGAGCCCAGGGACGCCUACGUGCCCUCCGUCGCUCGCAGCAGCAGCUGCCCAAACUCGAACACGGCUCCGCUGUCGAAAGAGGCGAAAGACCUCAAAGGGCCGUACCUUCUGGUUCCAGACGAAUUCGGCAUACCCCACGUGGUGGGAUUCACGACGUGGUUCGCGAUGUGUCCGCUAAAAGUGGAGGAAUCGAAUUCCGCCCCGGCGAUCGCCGGCGCAACAAGUCAGGGUAGUGCAGCAACGCUGAACACUGGCCGCUUCCUUGCGAUACCCGGCAUUCCCGGCCAAGAACCGGGCAGCAACGGCAUAGACCGGAGUCCCAGCAGCGUGUCCAUCAGCAGGAAUCACAGCUCCUCUGCGUUGGAGAACGGAGACGCUAAUCACAGGGGUAAUACACACUUUAUGAGGAAGAUACCACCAGGCGCCGAGGCAAGCAACAUACUUGUAGGUGAAGUCGAUUUCCUCGACAAGACCCUGUCUGUCUUCAUCCGACUGAGCCAGGCCGGGAUAAUGGGCGAUCUGACGGAAGUUCCUGUGCCAACGAGAUUUAUCUUCGUCCUUCUGGGACCCACGGGUGGAAUCUCGGGUUUCCAUGAAAUUGGCCGCGCCAUGGCGACUCUGAUGUCCGAUGAGGUCUUUCAUGACGUAGCAUACAAGGCGAAAAACAGGACUCACCUCUUAGCCGGCAUCGACGAGUUCCUGGACGCAGUGACAGUUUUGCCACCCGGUGAAUGGGAUCCAGCCAUCAGAAUAGAACCGCCGGCCGCUAUACCAUCGCAGGAAGUUCGGAAGAGGCCGAAGGAGGAAAAGCCCAAGGAAGAGUUUGACGAAGAAGCAGACGAGGAGAAGCUGAGGAAGGAGUCUGGUCUCGAGAGAUCCGGCAAGCUGUUCGGUGGACUGAUCAACGACGUAAAGAGGAAAGCUCCGUUCUACUUCUCUGACUUCAAAGACGCCCUGGCCCUCCAGUGCGUGGCAUCUUUCAUCUUCCUGUACUUCGCUUGCCUGUCGCCCAUCAUCACGUUCGGCGGCCUCCUCAGUGAGGCGACUGGCAAAAACAUGGCUGCUAUGGAAUCGUUGGUUUCCGGCUUUGUCUGUGGCAUCGGGUACGGCUUCUUCUCCGGCCAGCCGCUGACUAUACUCGGCUCCACCGGUCCGGUUUUGGUCUUUGAGACGAUCGUCUAUGAAUUCUGCAAGAAAUCCGAAUGGCAUUACAUGUCCUUCCGCUUCUGGAUUGGCAUGUGGAUCACCGUGAUCCUGUUAAUUCUCGUGGCUUUCGACGCAAGCGCCUGCGUCUGCUACAUCACUCGAUUCACGGAGGAGAACUUUGCCACCCUUAUCGCCUUCAUCUUUAUUUACAAGGCCAUCGAAAAUGUGCUAUCGAUCGGCAAGAAAUAUCCUGUGGACACUCAUUCCAACGAAAUGUUGAGCUACAAUUGCUGGUGUAAACCGCCCAACAUCACUCUGCCAUCCAGUUAUGAUCACGUGAACUGGACGUCGUUGGACAAGACUACUUGCGAGAAUCACAACGGCACGAUGAUGGGUGACGGCUGCAGCGUGACGCAGUAUGUGCCCAAUGUGUUCCUCAUGUCAAUUAUCCUAUUCAUGGGCACGUUCCUGCUGUCGGUACAACUCAAGAAUUUCAAGAACGCUUUGUUCUUCCCUUCGAAGGUGAGGCAAGUGGUGAGCGACUUCGCAGUGAUAAUCGCGAUAUUCUCUAUGAGCUUAAUGGACCACUUCGUGGGCAUUCCGACGCCGAAGCUGGAGGUGCCAUCGGAAUUCAAGCCGACACUGGAGGGACGAGGAUGGAUAAUUUGGCCUUUUCAGUAUAAUCCAUGGUGGAGUGCCAUCGCCGCCAUUGCCCCCGCUUUAUUGGGCACUAUAUUGAUCUUCAUGGAUCAGCAGAUCACGGCGGUCAUUGUUAACAGGAAGGAGAACAAAUUAAAGAAAGGAUGCGGCUAUCACCUGGACCUCUUCAUCCUGGCGAUCCUGAUCAUGAUAUGCUCUGUGAUGGGACUUCCGUGGUUCGUCGCGGCAACCGUCCUCUCGAUAAACCAUGUGAAUUCGCUGAAACUGGAAUCCGAAUGUGCCGCGCCGGGCGAGAAGCCACAGUUCUUAGGCGUUCGCGAGCAGAGGGUUACUCACAUCCUGAUUUUCUUAAUGAUCGGAUGCUCGGUAUUGUUGACGCCGAUGCUGAGAAACAUACCGAUGCCGGUUCUGUUCGGUGUCUUCCUUUACAUGGGCGUCGCGUCGCUCAAGGGCCUCCAAUUCUUCGACAGAAUCCUCAUUAUGCUGAUGCCCGUCAAGUAUCAGCCGGAUUACAUGUUCCUCCGUCAGGUGCCGCUAAAGCGUGUACACGUAUUCACUGUGAUUCAACUAGCAUGUCUCACCUGUCUGUGGCUAAUAAAGUCCUUCAGCCAAACUUCUAUCCUGUUUCCCUUGAUGCUCGUCGUGAUGAUCGGCAUACGCAAACUCCUGGACUUUGUGUUCACUCAACGCGAGCUGAAGAUCCUCGACGACAUAAUGCCGGAAACGAGCAAGAAGCACGCCGACGAUCUCCUCAAGCUGGAAAACGGCGAGGAACACACCGAUACGACGGGAUACGGUCCCCCAGAAAACAUCCAGAUCUCUCUGGCCAACGGGAACAUCAUGAAGAUUCCACUGGCGAGCAUCAACAUCAGCGAGGAGGUGAACAAGACCGGCAUCUGGCAACAGGUGAACGAGGGUAACGAAAAGUCGAAGCAGUCGAAAUCACUGAUAAACGUGGGAAAGCAAAAGAAGCAUCCGAAGAAGGACAACUCGAUAGCCGACGAGACAACGAGGCUGACGACGAUGACCGAGGAGGACGAGGAUGACAGUGGGAUCUCGAUCAAGGUGACGCACGUAAAAGACUCUAAAUUCUAACUCCACCAUCACCAUCACCAAAAAAUAAAAAAGACCGACUAUUCAUACGGCAAGACACACAGCAAGAGCACCAAUACACCGGCAUGCAACAUACCCCAUGCACCGCCGCUGUAGAUUUAAUACGAUCCAAGGAAAGCAUCAGUCCUUUAAAAGCAAAUGGUACUACCUCAGCCGAAACUUCCGUUUAGACAAGAAGACAGCAGAAAUAAGAAUAUGUGUUAAUGCAGCACACAAGUCUCUUUGAACAUUUAUUUCAAGAUUUCUUCAUCCACCGAUUGUUCAUACCCCAAUGAUCUCCAUUCACAUCUUACGAAUUGCCAUUCAGAAGACAAAGAUUUACACAGUCACAUUUACACUCGAUCCCUCCCUAAAUGGUCACCUUGAUUCAAACUGAAUACCCGCUCCUGCCAUUCAUCAAUUGCCGAUUAUCUUUUAUUGUAUUAUAUAUUUGUACUAUAUUUGGUGAACGCGAGUGCCCGGCAAUUUAUAAACAAUCAGCUGUAAAUGAGAGUCAUCGUGCACAUUCUCGAUGUACAUAGCAACAAUUCAACCGGAAGCGCCAACAGCGUCCAAUUGUGAUCUCGCGAAACCGUUUUCCUCAACUCGGGUAGAGUAAUGCGUACCAUUCCGAAGCAAUGGUACGCAUUGCUUCGGAAUAGUUUCCAACUGCGGCUGAUCCACGUAAAACAACUUCGCAUGUAUGCGAAAACAGGAGAGACAAAAAGUAUCUACAUCCUUAUGGCUAUCUAUGCAACAAAUGAUUCUUUUCUGUGUAACAGAACGUAACGUGUUAACUGUACGCGAGACGAUCCACGGAAGAGAACGAUUUCGAAAUUCUGAAAAAAGAGUGCUUUGAGUAGAGUAUAAAAUAAUAAGAGAAAGUAAAAAAGUCGUAUAAUAGUUGCAUGUUUUUACGUUUUAGCGACAACGGUAAAUAAAAAGUAGUAAAAUUAUGAAAUAUUAUGUGAUGUACGACUGCAUCCUCUUCAGACGAUAGGAUCCGAAUCGUCUAUUGACGAGUCAAUAGGGAUGCGUCUACGCUACAAAAA